This 353-nucleotide unclassified non-coding RNA is filed under the name Leishmania donovani. RNAcentral describes it as "gene:unknown". The record is from RNAcentral. Lineage: Eukaryota; Euglenozoa; Kinetoplastea; Trypanosomatida; Trypanosomatidae.
GUGGGUGUGGGUGUGUUUGUUGUUGUUUCGCUUUUCUUUGUUCGCCUCUGUUUCAGUUUCCUUGCAAACAACGAAAAGGAAGUGAAAGAGGUCGCUUCGAACACUGUGGUCUGCCCCAUAUCUUGGAUGUGUGCUCCCUUGCCUUUCUUUCCUGUUAGCAUACUUUGCCAUCACCACUGGCAUCACCGCUUACCUCACGUGCUUCUUGUGGAACUCUAUAUGUCGCAUGUUUGUGCGCAUGCAUGUAUUCACCUCUCGUCCCCUUCGUCGUCAGUGCCCGUUCUCUGUCUGUGUAUCCGCACAUUCUCGUAUUGGACGAAAAACGCACGUGAAAAGAAAAAAGAGAAACAUGA